AGAGUUUGAUCCUGGCUCAGGAUGAACGCUAGCGGCAGGCUUAAUACAUGCAAGUCGAACGGUAAGUUGAAUAGCAAUAUUUGACCUAGAGUGACGUACGGGUGCGUAACACGUAUGCAACCUACCCAAAACUGGAGGAUAGCUCGGGGAAACUCGAAUUAACCCUCCAUAAGAUCAUAGAGUAGCAUUACUUAGUGAUUAAAACUCCGGUGGUUUUGGAUGGGCAUGCGUCUGAUUAGUUAGUUGGCGGGGUAACGGCCCACCAAGACGAUGAUCAGUAGGGGAACUGAGAGGUUGAUCCCCCACACUGGCACUGAGAUACGGGCCAGACUCCUACGGGAGGCAGCAGUAGGGAAUAUUGGUCAAUGGAUGCAAGUCUGAACCAGCCAUGCCGCGUGCAGGAAGAAGGCGUUAUGCGUUGUAAACUGCUUUUGCCAGGGGGAUAAAAUUUCCUUGCGAGGAACAUUGAAGGUACCUGGUGAAUAAGCCACGGGCUAACUACGUGCCAGCAGCCGCGGUAAUACGUAGGUGGCAAGCGUNGUCCGGAUUCACUGGGUUUAAAGGGUGCGUAGGUGGGCAAGUAAGUCAGUGGUGAAAUCUCCGGGGCUUAACCCGGAAACUGCCAUUGAUACUAUNUGUCUUGAAUACUGUGGAGGUCAG
RNAcentral lists this ribosomal RNA (660 nucleotides) under uncultured bacterium. RNAcentral describes it as "bacterial SSU rRNA". It matches the Rfam family "Bacterial small subunit ribosomal RNA", at positions 8 to 661 of the family's 1533-position model. The record is from RNAcentral.